Molecule: long non-coding RNA, 6679 nt
Organism: Puntigrus tetrazona (Sumatra barb)
Lineage: Eukaryota; Metazoa; Chordata; Actinopteri; Cypriniformes; Cyprinidae
Exons: 3
Source: RefSeq, a predicted model, not a curated record
CCACAGAAAUAAAAAAAUACCGCAGCUGGCAAAAAAAAGAAAAGAAAUAAAUCCCAUCUUACAGACAAUUGAUCGCGGUGUUUUAGGGCCAGAUUAUCUGAGAUACCGAUCUCAAAUAUGUUACCAAAAAUGCUUUUUAGUUUUGCUACUAACUAAAAGUUGUAACUGCAUCUGAUAAGAAGAGAAACCCGGUCAGCUAAAUCAGUGAGAGAAACACGAGCUAAACAUUAAACAUUCGCUGCAUCCUUGGAUAUGAAUGAAGAUCUCGUACCGUAUACUGUACUGUAAAAAACACAAACAAACCAACAAAAAUAACCUUCUCAAUCGGCACCACAAGCAAAAAGAGAAGUUCAUAUGUUCUUUUUAAGAAACCAACGGAAAUCCCCACGUCAAGAUAGAGAAGAAAAUAGGACGAGAACAAAAGCAUUGCAGAGGCAAAACAGAGCAUUGUUAUUUUAUGCAAAUGAUCAGGAUCGAAUGAAAGGCAACAAAUAAAGGCAUAUUUAGAGGGAAAUCGGAAGACAUUUGAAAACAAAAACUUGAAAUUGAAAAUAAAAGUUCACGAUGGCAAUUAAGAGAAGAGAAGAAAAGAAAAGGUUUUGGUUUUAGUUAGAUCUACAUACAAUUUAAAGCAAUUUAUAAAAUGCAAAAAAAAAAUGGCAAUGUCAUUCAUGUCGAUAUUUUAAAAAAAACAAUUGAAAAGACCGCCUCUUGACGUCAGAGACCCGCAGACGCAUGAAGCCGCGCGCAGGGGACAGAAGAAGUGCAAAACACAGGUAAGAAAUGAACUGUCUGGCUUUCUAAAACCUCAACGGCUUGUUUAAACAAACUAUUACAUUAGUAUGUGGUCCAUAAUAUUUGGCAUGCACGCUAUAAAACUUUUCGACGUUCUUUGUAAUAGCAGGUAAAAGUUUUUUUGGGGAGUUGUGUAAACUCUGAAACGAUUCGCAUGCUUUUAACUGCAUUCUUUGAAACGUAGCCUAUUGUUUGCUAAUGGCUAUUUUGAGCUGCUAAUAUUAAAGUAUGUAUUAUUAGCAUUUUUGUAGGCUACUUUAAUAUUUUUGUACUUUUCACACACACACACACACACACACACACAUAUGAGUAGCUUACCUAAAAGUAAUAUUUGACACUGUCACUUGUGGAAUAAAUAAUUUUUUAUUUAUUUUUUAAGAAAAGGUUGAUUUAUCACUGGUUUAUCGGCUAUAACAAGUACAGUUGGAUUUUUGGAGAGACAGAAUGCUAAUAACAUGUACAUGCCUGUUAAUCAAAGGGGAAAAAAUAUUUUAGAAAGUUUUGAAUAAGUGUUACUCAAUAAUCUUAGCUUUUUUAAUCGUAACAGAUGUUAAUUGACCAAUGUGAGCUUAUGUAAAGCGUCUUUUUUCCUCUUUCUUUUGCUGACUGCAGAUGAAGUCUUCUUUGUGCCCCUAAAUCAAGAAGGAACAACCUUUUUUAAUACGACCUUCUUCAAACUUAAAAUAUCAGAAGGUCUUUGAGUCUGAGAGACUGAUCUUAGGUUUGGGCAAUGGACCAGAGAAGACAGGUACCCUGGAGCCAAGUGGUGCGGUUCAAUAUAGACUUUUAUUACGUUUAUUAAGAGGCCAAUGAAUAUUUAUAGUAUCAAGCAAUACAGAUAAGGCGAGAUUCCAAUGAUGUCUCAAGUUGCGAUUGAGUAAUGUCUAUGUCUCCAACACAGUCUCACGACCAAUUCAUAGGUGUUUUACGAGGUGGCUAAUUCGUACGAAGAUCAGCCUGAUGUCUCAAAGACUGCAGAGCACACAGGCCACAGACGGCACGUUUGCACAGAAUGUUCUUUUAAAUCUCACAACGGUAACUUCAAGACAGUCGCAUUGAAGGAAUUUCCCUUGCGGCAAUUUUGAGUGACUCAGUAGAGCGGUAUGCGGUAUCACCGCACAUAUUGUUAGCCUAUGCAUAUAUAUAUAUAUUGUUUCUCUGAUCACAAAUGCAGACAUAUGUUUACGUUAACGAUAAUCAGUUAUUUCUCCUCUGGAUGCAAACAAAUUUGUAAUGUCGGGACAUGGCAUCACUUUAUGGUAGGGGGCGUAACAUCUCCAUCAAACGCUUGAGGUUUUCGGCCAAUCACGAUGCACUGGAUAGCUGGCCAAUCAGAAGACACCUCGCUUUUUUUUUCGAACGAUGAGCUUUGUAUAAAUCAUCCCGUUUCGGAAGGCGGGGCUUAGAGCAGAAACAAUAAUAUAUUAUGUGGAGAAUAUUGUGGUUUUUGUACCAGUUACGCAGCUUGAGCCGAAUUGUAAUCUAAGGCAAGUUGUGGGCUAAUGGAUGGGGAAUUGGACCCUUUACCCAAACGUCAAGGGUUCGAGGCCCAAGUCAUGAAAUACUUGCGUGUACACAGAAUUGAAUUAAUAAUAUUCUUGAGGCACGACUGGGGCUAAUGGCGUUAUUAAUUAAUUUAUAGCCCUUAAAUACUGGGUCAUGCGCCAUGUUUUUCCGCCUGCCUUAACCACAGGAAUAAUAGGCUCAUUGUAAGGCGAGGUUAUUGUACGAAGACACCAUGAUCAAUUAAUGGCUUUAUGCCAAGUUCCUUAUCUUUAGACAAAGGGUAUUAUUUCAUUAGACUGGUUUAUUAGCCUUUAAUUUAGCUUCCUAUGAAACCUGUGUUGUCUUUAUAUUGCGACCAUAGUGAUGGAUCGACCAUAGCCUCCACCGUUUGCGGUAUUGGUUUGGGUGUGGUUCACUGUGUUUUUCCCAUGUUUGUCUCGAGCUAAGAGAGAAUGAUAAAGUGUAGCAUUCAGUACUUCUCAUGUGCAUCAGGUUUACCAGGACUCGGGAGCUAGACCUUUUAGCCUUGUUCAGAUAUCUGUUCGUAUCCGGUUGGAAUCUGAUUGAAAUGAUUGGCCGUUCCACACUCUAUAAUGCAUUUGCUCAGAUCCGAUUUGUUCGGCAGUGGCCGGGAUCUACAAGAAAGAAAGGUUAAAUUCCUGUGAUGCCAUUCAGAGUUGCUUCACUUCACAAAGACCCACCCCCAACCUCAUCACAAGCCUCCAAGUCUCCGUUUUCUACAGCUGUCAGAGAGCUGCCAUGACAGAAUGAGUUCUUAUCAACUGUCCUGUCAAAUGAAACUAAACAUUGACACAACGUUUAGCUUGCCACCUUGCUAACUUUCCCCAUGGCUGUUCCGUGGGUGAGCCGGUUUGGUGUCGAGCUGGUUUGAUUUCCUGAAAAAUGAAGAAGCAGGUUUUCCAGUGCAUUUUGUACGGCAUGCGAAGAAGCUGUAGGAGAUCGGUGUUCUGCAGCAACUUCAGCUCUGCAGCGUAACUCGAGGCUUGGUGUUCUUUCUAUGCUUGGUGUACUUCACAUACUGAGCCAGGGCAUGAUCUUUUCACGCACUCGGGAUUCACUGAGCAGCAACAGAGAGGACCGUUGCUGUUUUAUUGACAUCUCUUAUAUUGUCAUUCGCCGGUUCUUCUUCAGAGGCAACCUGGAUCGAAAAUGCAAAGGAGCGCAGAAAUGCAUCAGUCCACAGCUGCCUGCAGAACUCGAGCCAUUCGUAAGGAAUCUGUCACCUGUCAUUUAUUUAAUCUUCAUUCAUACAGCAGCGUCGCACAGAUGCCGGUGCUACAAACAUCAGUUUGCAUACAAAUACAGGUCAAGCCAUGUCCUGAUAUAAAUCUACAAGCACGCCAGAGUGGUUGUUUUCUGCACCUGAAAGCAACGGAUGAUGAAAGUGGCCAGAAACAAAGAACUUGACACCUGUAGUGCCUGACUGAAUAUGACAUCUUACUUCAGAGCUUUCAUGUCUACGUAUGCUGGCUUACUUAAACGCUUAGUCAUCACAUCUAAUAUGCCCUUUUCGCAUAGUGCACAUGUUUGUGGAAAAUGUCACAAGGUUGAGCCAGAGGUUUAACGAUAAUUCAACCAUGGCAGAACCUACUCGUAAAUAUUCAUACUUGUGACAGAAUAUUCUGUCUGGAUUUUAUCAAAUGAAUAAAAACAAUUCUCGUGUCUUUUUUUAAACCGUGAGCCAAAGUCAGUUCACUCACGCAUAUCGUUGCUCUUAUUCUGGGACUUUGCCCCGUUGCCAUUGGAAACAGAGCCACACCUCUAGCCCCGUGAAUGGGUUAAGUCACGUGUCAGGACCAACUCUCUUUGUUUCAGAAGUGGUGAACGAACAGGGGAGAGUGAAAAGAAAACAUGGUGCACAAACUCCUCCACGCCAGUCACAGGGCAACUGGUAAAGCUGCAGCUUCUCAUAAACUGACAUUUAUUUAUUUGCAUUUAACCACUCACCUAGAGAUAUUCACAUUUUCAAAAUCCUCAAAGGUGUUCAAUGCUGUCUGAGACUUUAGGACCCUAUUGGAUUUCUAAAAAGUGAAAAGCAUUUUGGAAAGCUAUUUAUCUCUCACCCGGUAGUGGGAAAGCAACAAUCGCCUGGGGUGAACGCAUGUUACUAUCUCAUAGUUCACUGCACCAAAAAAGGUAAGGGGCCCUGAGACAGCCGUCGGGGUCGACGAGGAGGGGUGGUCAGUCUCUGUUAGAUGAGAUUGUCAAUGACAAAAGGUUUCACUAACACAUAGUGACUGAUGAAUGGAAAGAAUGUUAAACCCUUCAGAGACGGAGUGACAGUCUUAGCCUAUAUACACCCUCGGGGGAGCGAGAACACAGCUGUGGUCAACACCUGAUGCCGGUCCUAAAACAUACAAUACGCUAACAUUUUUUGUAUUAAAUAAUAUUUUUCCCUUUAAAAACGAUUUAAUGUUUUUGCAAACAUUACUCUAAAUAUUUCCAGAUUUGCAUUUCGUUUCCAAGUCAACGGUGGCUACAGUGCUGGGUAAUAAUACUAUGGUAAACUAUAGCUUUGCAUAUGAAUAUAAUUACAUGGCAGCACUACAUAUGCCCUGAUGGUAUCUCCAAAGUGGAAAUGCAGUAUUAAACAAGCACAUAUCUCGUUUAGAUUCUUAUUUCAGUACGUUGCAGAAAAAUUCUAUAUCGCAAAAUACAUGAAAUGCUGUUAUUUCGUAUCAGUCUCUUGCACACAACAGUAAGCCCAUGUCUGCAGAGGCGAGACAUCUGCCCCAUUGCGGUGGGAUUUGAUGGGGCUGGGGGCGUAGCUCAAUGCACCAAACCCAGAUGAAACAUGCGGAUGGCUGUUUGCUCCCCAUCACAUGGAAUACCCUGGGAUUGAAUGCAUAAUUUACAUUUACACUGGUGCUCGGAGCCUCACGUUAGGGAGUGGUAUUCGGCUCUUACGCAAUGCAACUGCAUGCUGGAAUCGUAUUAGAAGUUAAUGAACCCUGCAGGAAGCAAAUCAUAAGAUUAUGACUGAACGUGAAGGAGAGACGCAUCACGCCAAGCAUACAGUCCGGGGACGUAAUUUCAUGACGAUUAACGCAUAAUUCUGGACUGUGAGAAACAAAGACGCGUUUUCACAGCAGGUAGAGACCGUCUCCGCCAGUGCCCUCGUUUAUCUCAAGUCGAGCCUUUAUUCAACUCACUCGGUCUGCUCCACUUGAAGAUAACGACGGCAAACAGACGCGACGAUAACUCGUCCUGAAACCCGAGACAACUUUAUCGCGUCAGACUACACCCUAAAAUGAAGCAUGGUUAACUUCGCGCAGUCAAAAACACAACACGAACCACGUUACGGCGUGAAAACGCCGCGUGCCAAAGCUUAAACUGUACGAAAUCACAUCCGAUGGUCAACCACGGGUGUAGUUUGUUUAGAGGACCUAAACACAGACGCUUAAUUAAAAAAAAAAUCAGUUUUAAAUGAAAGUUUAACGUCGUGCGCCUUAAAGUAAACAGUUCAUUUUGAUGAGAAGUUAAUUUUAAACGGUUUGCAUGAAUAGUUACUUAUGUUUUAACAGUUAAACGACACGGCUCGAGGUUUUAACACCAAGGAGUGAAUGGAUAAGGGAUGAUUUAAUCAAAACUGCGUUAACAAAUGUUUAGCUACUAAAAAUAAAAUGCGCGCCUCGUUCAGCGCUUAAAGGAUAUUUAGCUUUUACUGUAAUGGAUGCACGUCGAGAUGGCCCGAUCAGUUCAUUUUGCACAUCUGGGGGUUUUACAGCAAACGUUUGAAAGUAAGCGCGUCGUUCGUCCCGAGCUUUACGCGGUUAAAUAGUGACACAAUGUAUCUCGAGGUUUCGUCACAAACACGUUGUCGCGCCAACUAGAAACGUUCUGUCGUAAUAGUUAAAGAGCUUAAAGAUUUUUCUAAGAGCUGCUAAACACCAGAGACACGCAGAGCCCUUCUCUUGUUACAAACGCGCUUACUUCAGUUUUACAGCGUAAAAGUCACGAGACCGAGCGCAUUCGCUUCGACAAACAGGCCAUGCAACAUCGCGGCCAUAGAGGAGGAAGUUGUCUGCUACAUUCCUGAAAUCUUUGUAGUGAACCAAGAACGUCUUAAAAUGGACUUCGAGCCUCUUUUUAAAAUCAACAGACUUAAAACCUGUUGCUCCAUCCGAGAAGAAGCGCGUUACGCGGUUUAGAUGAAGCCUUGCGCGCUUUUCAUUCAUUUAAGCGAACUAAUUUGAAUAGUAAAACUGCGGAAGUCUCACACUCCGGGAAGCCAUUUGGAAACAACUAUUCGCCAAACCAUUAUUUCCUCCAACUCUAAAACCACCUGUUUAAACACAGAAAACAGCACGGCACAUUCCCAGACAGCGUUUAAGAAUGAAGCGACAAACACGUUCAC